AGGUAAGCUACAGUGCUGAAUUUGUGCCUAAUACCGAAGAAGCAUAUACUGUGAUAAUACAAAAGACAAGAAAAAUGGCCGCAACAGACGAACCAGUGAUCUCUCGAAGUUUCCAAGUCUUUGAAUUGGGAAAGGUGUUAUUUACUAUUGACAAUCCAACCUCUAAGAAGAAGAAGCUCAUAUAUAGGUUCAAGGUCAAGGUUCUAAGAGAGUGAAGCAUUCUAGCCGCCCACCAUGUUAGUGAUUGCAACAAGGGACAAAAGAAACAAGUAAGGCUGGAUAAAUUAGCUCAAUCAUUCAAUCUGAAUCUUACUGCUUCUUAUGUAUGCCAUCAAAAUUUUAUAUCUUUUUCCUCUCAAAUUAAAAUCUGUCAUCUGUUAUUUGGUCAUUUUAUGUGUGUUUCACUCGUUUUUCUACUCGAUUUGUAAAUUUUGUGGACAGUGUGUAGAGGUUUGUUUUUGUUUGGUUCAAUGUUGUA
RNAcentral lists this unclassified non-coding RNA (478 nucleotides) under Hevea brasiliensis (rubber tree). The record is from RNAcentral. Lineage: Eukaryota; Viridiplantae; Streptophyta; Magnoliopsida; Malpighiales; Euphorbiaceae.